Molecule: ribosomal RNA, 501 nt
Filed under: uncultured bacterium
Lineage: Bacteria
Description: partial 16S ribosomal RNA
Rfam family: Bacterial small subunit ribosomal RNA
Source: RNAcentral
AUUGAACGCUGGCGGCAGGCUUAACACAUGCAAGUCGAGCGGGGAGAUGUAGCUUGCUACAUUUCCUAGCGGCGGACGGGUGAGUAAUGCUUAGGAAUCUGCCUAUUAGUGGGGGACAACAUUCCGAAAGGAAUGCUAAUACCGCAUACGCCCUACGGGGGAAAGCAGGGGAUCUUCGGACCUUGCGCUAAUAGAUGAGCCUAAGUCAGAUUAGCUAGUUGGUGGGGUAAAGGCCUACCAAGGCGACGAUCUGUAGCGGGUCUGAGAGGAUGAUCCGCCACACUGGGACUGAGACACGGCCCAGGCUCCUACGGGAGGCAGCAGUGGGGAAUAUUGGACAAUGGGCGAAAGCCUGAUCCAGCCAUGCCGCGUGUGUGAAGAGGGCCUUUUGGUUGUAAAGCACUUUAAGCGAGGAGGAGGCUACUUGGAUUAAUACUCUAGGAUAGUGGACGUUACUCGCAGAAUAAGCACCGGCUAACUCUGUGCCAGCAGCCGCAGUAA